This is a long non-coding RNA of Centrocercus urophasianus (Greater sage-grouse), 2318 nucleotides long. RefSeq lists it as uncharacterized. The record is from RefSeq and is a predicted model, not a curated record. The transcript is spliced from 2 exons. NCBI's taxonomy places the organism in Eukaryota, Metazoa, Chordata, Aves, Galliformes, Phasianidae.
AUAAAUAAAUAAAGCUGGGAAAAAAAAAAGAAAACAUAUUGUGGAAUGGAAUUUUUCAGCCCACACCUGGAAAUUUCAUUGUGCUGAGUUCCAAACUUCAGAGCGUGAGCCAUGACAAAGGAGAGACUGGCCCCUGUCCUCACCACUUGCCUUCUGCUGCAUUUAUACAGUGAAAGGUGCUAAGAGGAGCAGUGCAGGAUGGAUGCAGCGAAACUCAAACAUCAGCUGAAAGUUGGAACAGAGGGAGAGAAAGACAUUGGCACAGUAAGUCCAGUGCAGAUUAGAGCUAAUGGGAACUAAAGGAAACAGUGAGUGCAAGUGCAAGCAGGGAAAGGAAAAGGAAAGGCAUGGGGGGAAGAUGCAACAGAAGACGAGAACUUAGAACUGGCAGCUGAACAACAGCAGGGUGAUCCAAACAAGAAGAGCUAGAAUGAACUUAUUGGAGACAAAGUGCCUCAUCAUAAAAGGAGCAAUACUGAGACCAAAAGGAAAUUGCUCACUGACCAGAUCUCUUGCCUGUGAAUUUAACUUUCGGAAUGGCUGGAAGAACAACAAAUCAGAGAACAAUGUCACUGAAAAUGGCAUUUACAGUGGCUGAGAUGCAGUGGCAUGGGCAACUUUAAUAUUUUGUAACUUUGAAAUGCUUUGGCUUUGAAACUAAUAUUUCUUCCUUGUUGCUUGUUGUGCAUUAUGCAAGCUUAUUUCAUCCUAACAAUUAACUCAUUGAGGCAGAGAUUGCUUUUUUGCCCUGUUUUUGCACAUCACUUGCUUAAAGUGUUGUGGUUCAUGACUAGUGCCGUUACAUGUCAUAUUAAUGCAGAUAGGAAAUAGUAUGCUGGUAGAGAUCUAUAAUAAAAGCUAAAUGUGAAUUCUAACAGUGGAGGAAAAUGGUUUGCUACAAAACACUGGGAAAUUAUUAGAUGCACCAGGCAAAAAUAACAAGUGGAAAAUUGGAGGUGAGUACCAACGAAUGGUUCUAUAAGUGGUUAGGUGAGGCUGUUGGGCAGCCCACUGUGAAAGCAGCAGAAGCCCCUCAGCUGGGACUUGGCUGAAGAUGAGAUAACUGUUCAGAAGGCACAGGACUUUACAGGGUCACAGACACUGGAUGGUCUGGAUGUUCCAUCUCCAGCUUCUGUAAUUCUGUACAGCCUUCCCCAAAAGCCAACAUGAUGGAGCACAUCAAAAGAUGCAAUUCUCACAGACAUUUCUUGAGCUGAGAACUAUGAAAAGAAAGUUGUUCUCAUCCAUGAGCUGAAAUUGAGAGUACACACUAACCCAAAAGGAUAUCAGCUCAAAGAGCACUGUAUGAAAAUCUUAUAAAGCUCUGCAAACGCUCCAUAAAUAAUUUUCAAACAGGAAGCUUUUUGUUUCAGUGAUAACAAUACUAAAAAGGAAGAAUGGCAAAUAUCCAUGAAAAAAAAAAAAAAAGGCUGAAACAGUCUGCACCCUAUACUGAUGAUAGUUUUAAUCACUUCCAGAGUUACACGCACAAUUAUCAGUCAUUUAUUAAGAAACACAAAUGAUCAUUACAGAGGUAUAGAUUAAUAUAGGCUGAAGCCUGGUGUCGUGCCAGUGGUGCACCACAUGAUGGGCAGACCAUGGAAAAAAUAUUCCAGCAUGUCACUGUGCUAUAAAUUCUACAAAUGAAAGAAAUUAAAAAGCCAGGAGCAAUUUUGAAAAUGAUUUGUGAUUGGUGGUGCACUUAGGAGUUCUUUUAUUGUCACAGGAACAUCUCCUUUCACAUCCUUAAGGUGAAAAGCACCACUCUGCUUCGCUCUGAGGUUCUGGGGACAGCCUGUGACUGCGUGAGGUGUGGAGGCAAGCAGUGGGGCUUGUGCUGGAACACCCAAAAAUCAGGCCACGUUACUGAGAGUAUUGUCCAGGCACUUCUUGGACUUCACAAGCUCAGUGCCACAGUCACUUCCCUCGGAAGCCUGUGUCAAUGCCCAACCACUCUCUCAGUGAAGAACUUUUCCCUGAUAUCCAACCUGAAAGUGAAAGCUUGGAUAUCCAAGAAGGAUAGUUAAUCCUCCCCCAGGCCAAUGAUACUGAGCCACAGACACUAACCUACAUGAUACCUUGCUGUCUUCCUUGUUCCUCCUUUGGGCCUGCCUUCAGGCAUUUGGACUUGUGCUUUUCAUUUUUCUGGGAUGGCAUGAGGACUUCCCAUAGCAACGUGCCAUGUACGCACACCCAGCAAGGCUGGCUGGUUGGAUGUCUGCAGUUUUUUCUCCAGCAACAGGUAGACCUCAAGUCAAGAAGCCUAUGCCAUUGCCGCUGCUUGUGUCCACAACUGUAAUAAAGCUUUUAAAAAUAUA